UAUGUGGAGAAUAGACUUUCAAACAUUAAGAGUGGAAGCAAGGAGAGACUCGAACGCUCCUGCAGAAGCCUAGUCAAGGCUGUGGAGGCUUGGGAAGCUAUGUCUGUCUGAAUGGAGUGUGAAGUGACUGGCUUCAGGAUAUGUUUUGAGGAGAGCAUCACAAGGCUUGCUGAUGGUCUGGGGUGCCACUUGAGGACAGAGGAGAGUGAAGGAUGAUGUUUAGGGUUAUGGCCAACCUGGUGUCAUUGAUCGAGAUGGAAAUUUGGGGGAGAGAUAAAGAGUUGUAUGCCAGAAGUCAUGUUUGAAUUGCCUAUUUAGAUAGCCAAACAGGUGAAAUGAGUAGGCAGGUGUUUCUACAAAUUAGAGAGAUGGUUAGGGCUGAGCAUACACAUCAUCAAUUCAGUCAUCUGUAUGUAAAGUGGUUUAAAACUGUGAACUAGAACAGAGUUGCACAACGUAACAGGCACUAUUUUGUACCAGGUAAGUGUCUAUUGGGAAAGGGUGUUCUUUGCAUUGUAGGAUGUCUAUAGCUGCAUCGCUGGCCUUGACACCCUACAUGCCCACAGCAUUUCCUAAAGCUGUGACAAAACUGUCUCCAGAGAUUGCCAGGUGACCUCCAGAGGGAGAGUUGUUGCAAGGUGCAGCUGGAGAAGAGAGAUGGCCUGCGCUGGAGCCCCCACGGCCUGUGGAGCAGAGGAGCCAGCACAGGGUAGGGGGCAACCAGUGAGCUGGCAGAGAGGGGACACUGGGAGCCUGUGUCAUAGCAGCUGGACUGGUUACAGUCAUUGAGAAUUUGAGUAAGAUGAGGAAAAAGCACUGACCACUGGGGUUGGCAAGAUGGAGGGUCUCAGGGACUUAACAAGACAAAUCUUAAUGUGAUGGAGGGGACAAAGAGCCAUUGACUGGGUGAUGAUGAAGUGGGGCGGGUGUGGAGAGAUGACACAGGAAGCACAGUCAGCCUUUUGGAGGAGUUUUGUUGAAGAGAAAAACAGAGAAAUGGUGUGAUGAAGAAAAUGGAGAAUGUGGGUAGGAAGGAAUUUUUUAAACAUGCACUGGAGAGUGGAAUCAUUACAGAAAUGAAGUCCUUGGGGGACUAAUUAGCACACGAUCACAUCCUACUCAGGUACCAACGCCUUCAACAACUGCAUUCCCCCCACGAUCCCCGCAGCUUUGCCUAGAUGUGCCCUGCAUCGCAGGUGCAUUACCCAGGAAGAGCUCGUCGGGGCAGCACCUAACUGACAGGUAACUUCGCUGUUUUAGUUUCGAAGUCAUUAGUCUUGCGAAGCUGCGAGAGCACAACGGCGCUGACGCACUGCCCACGGCCUUUCCUGAGGAGCUGGCGACACCGCGGAUGUGAACGAGCCCAGAGUUUGCUACUCUUGUCCCCUGGACUCAGAAGGAGCGGAAUUCUCUCUUCCUCCAGGGCACUCCGGGCCAGAUGCACACCAGGGCGGGUGUUACUCGAGCUAACGAACUACAGGAGGAAAAGCAGCAACCACAAACUCGGGGCAAACCAAGCUUCUUAUCAGAAGAAAUCUUCAGAAAUGAUGGGUUUGAUCCACAGCGAGGGCGCUUCCUUCACCUCAGACUGCUUAAGUAAAGCAGUUUGAGCCCAGUGACAACUGUGACAGGCGGGGAAGGAUCUCCCUGCUUUGUGGCUCUCAGCUGUGUCAAGCAGGAGCCUCGGGCCCCAGGGCGUAUGUGUGGAUCUCCAGGGGCGCCUCAACACUCUGUGGCUCCCCAGGCUCUCACUUUUGGAGAUGCCCUCCAUGCCCAUCAAACAGACUGGAGGUGGAGAGGUGCCCCGGCAAUGAACUCUCACAGCCUGGCGUGGGAGCCUGGCCUCCUACCCACUCCUUAGGAAUGCUUUAUUUAUAACCCGAUGCAGAAGUACUUACUGAGGCCCAGAUAAUCUGGCUUUCCCCCCCCCCCCCCUCAAUUAUUCAUGAGAUUUAGGCAAAAUUGCAUAUUUUUUAAUUUCAUCUUUUUGGUAUAAAUUACUGAAAUCGCAGGCAAAGAAUCCAUCCAGGAUCUGUUUGCUAGAAGCCUCUCUAGGUUAGCUCCGCAUCAUUACAACUACUUCUCUUUGAACUUUGAGAAUGGAGAAUCCUGAAAAUUUGACAGUUGGUGGCAAUUUAUGUAACUUGUUCUAUUACUGUUGGCAGAAUGUGGGAAAACAUUGGAAUGAAAAUCUGAAUCUAUAAUACACACACACACACACACACACACACACACACACACACACGUUUAUAUAAUGUCUCAACAGCAGCAAAAGACAGACGGGACCAUGCUGGGACCAGAGAGGGAUCCGAGGUCAUUUGCUGAAUGGGGCUUACCGCUCAGGCACACUUCAUUUUUAUUCCUUAGUUAUUAAUUAGUGUCUAACUACCAGUGAGUACGUGAAACCCUGGCCUGCCUCCCUCCUUCCUCUGUGCCCUCUCACCUGCUACCCUGGCUCUGGUGUCACUGGGGACAGCUCUGGUCACCAGCUCCCUAGCACACACAUGUCUCCUGAGCUACAGGAACUACAGACCCAGAAAUGUUGAUUCCACCCACCUCCCCUUGGCCCGCUGAAAUCUCUGUGUGUGCGCUCACCAUCCCUCCGCCGGACACCCCUCUACCUUUGCUGGCUAUUCCAACUCUUGCCCUUCAAAGUCGGGCGCCAACCCCACCUUGGGAAAGGCUCUGCCAUGACUGCCCUACCUAACUCCUCUGCCUCUGACUUCACAGCUUGGCCUCUAGGAGUGUGGCCAUGUCCGUCUCACUAAGCCAAUGCUCCUUAGUUAUCAAGGGGUAGAAAUAGCAACUAACCUUUGUAAUGAGCUUUGGAUAUAUAAAGCCUUUGCAUACAUUUGACCCUUCAGAGACCCCUCAAGGUGGGUUAACAUCCCAUUUUCCACACAUGUAAACAGAACGGUUCAAGUAGCUGGUCCCAAGUGACACAAGUGAUGUGGUGAUACUGAGGCUAGGUGAGUCAGAUCUACAGGCUCAGGCACUUAUAGGGCAUGGUAUCCCUCCCCACCCCCCUCUUGAGUGUGGGGUCUUGGCUCGUUCCUCUCUUUCUCCCCCAAGCACCUGUGGCUGUUGGUAAAUAUUUGUUGAAUUGAACUGGGGCAGGAGGUAGAUAAGAAAGGGGUCUGUGAGCUGGGUGAUCGAAUCCCACAUCAUGCUUGAAGGUCACAAGAAAACUCUCUUUACACAGCUAGAUCUCCUACAAGCCUCCCGACAAGGGGCUGUUCUCUCUUGUGCCAGAAGCACUUGCAUUCCUCUGUGGCUCUGUUUCUAAAGAAACCGGGACGUGGAUGUAUGCCAGCAGAUAGCAGGACUGAGAAACACCCCAGUGUGAAACUACUGAUAUUUGAGAUGUCCUGAUCCUUUGAAAAAUUACAUGUGCUAAUAAGAAUUAAUAAAACGUAUGCACUCCAGUGAAGUAUAAAGACAGGUUUAUGAUGAACUGUUUCUGUAAAUUAAAAGUUUUCAAGAAUACUG
Molecule: long non-coding RNA, 3489 nt
Organism: Leopardus geoffroyi (Geoffroy's cat)
Lineage: Eukaryota; Metazoa; Chordata; Mammalia; Carnivora; Felidae
Exons: 2
Source: RefSeq, a predicted model, not a curated record